RNAcentral lists this ribosomal RNA (721 nucleotides) under uncultured Nitrososphaerota archaeon. RNAcentral's name for it is "bacterial SSU rRNA". It matches the Rfam family "Archaeal small subunit ribosomal RNA", at positions 8 to 737 of the family's 1478-position model. Lineage: Archaea; Thermoproteati; Nitrososphaerota. The record is from RNAcentral.
UUGAUCCUGCCGGACCCGACUGCUAUCAGAGUGGGACUAAGCCAUGCGAGUCAACGCAGCAAUGCGUGGCAUACGGCUCAGUAACACGUAGUCAACAUGCCCAGGGGACGUGGAUAACCUCGGGAAACUGAGGAUAAACCGCGAUAGGCCAAGGUUUCUGGAAUGGACACUGGCUGAAACCUACAUGGCCCCUGGAUUGGACUGCGGCCGAUCAGGCUGUUGGUGAGGUAAUGGCCCACCAAACCUGUAACCGGUACGGGCUUUGAGAGAAGGAGCCCGGAGAUGGGCACUGAGACAAGGGCCCAGGCCCUAUGGGGCGCAGCAGGCGCGAAAAUUCUGCAAUAGGCGAAAGCUUGACAGAGUUACUCUGAGUGAUGCCCGCUAAGGGCAUCUUUUGGCACCUCUAAAAAUGGUGUAGAAUAAGGGGUGGGCAAGUCUGGUGUCAGCCGCCGCGGUAAUACCAGCACCCCGAGUGGUCGGGACGAUUAUUGGGCCUAAAGCAUCCGUAGCUUGUUCUGCAAGUCUUCCGUUAAAUCCACCUGCUCAACAGAUGGGCUGCGGGAGAUACUACAGGGCUAGGAGGCGGGAGAGGCAAGCGGUACUCAGUGGGUAGGGGUAAAAUCCUCUGAUCCACUGAAGACCACCAGUGGCGAAGGCGGCUUGCCAGAACGCGCUCGACGGUGAGGGAUGAAAGCUGGGGGAGCAAACCGGAUUAGAUACC